GAAGGUAUAGCUUAGUGGCAGAGUACUUGUUUAGCAUGCAUGAAGUCUUGGGUUCAAUCUCCAGUACCUCCA
This 72-nucleotide transfer RNA is filed under the name Camelus bactrianus (Bactrian camel). It matches the Rfam family "tRNA". Rfam says of the family: Transfer RNA (tRNA) molecules are approximately 80 nucleotides in length. Their secondary structure includes four short double-helical elements and three loops (D, anti-codon, and T loops). Further hydrogen bonds mediate the characteristic L-shaped molecular structure. tRNAs have two regions of fundamental functional importance: the anti-codon, which is responsible for specific mRNA codon recognition, and the 3' end, to which the tRNAs corresponding amino acid is attached (by aminoacyl-tRNA synthetases). tRNAs cope with the degeneracy of the genetic code in two manners: having more than one tRNA (with a specific anti-codon) for a particular amino acid; and 'wobble' base-pairing, i.e. permitting non-standard base-pairing at the 3rd anti-codon position. RNAcentral also lists the same sequence under 2 other names. Lineage: Eukaryota; Metazoa; Chordata; Mammalia; Artiodactyla; Camelidae. The record is from Rfam by way of RNAcentral.